GUUUUAAUAGUUUAUAACUAAAAUAUUGAUCUUGUAAAUCAAAGAAAAAAAAUAUUUUUUAAAACU
Molecule: transfer RNA, 66 nt
Filed under: Neodiprion qinghaiicus
Lineage: Eukaryota; Metazoa; Arthropoda; Insecta; Hymenoptera; Diprionidae
Description: tRNA-Thr
Source: RNAcentral